This 823-nucleotide ribosomal RNA is filed under the name Coleoptera sp. NZAC 03012895. Its description in RNAcentral is "eukaryotic LSU rRNA". It matches the Rfam family "Eukaryotic large subunit ribosomal RNA", at positions 396 to 944 of the family's 3401-position model. The record is from RNAcentral. Lineage: Eukaryota; Metazoa; Arthropoda; Insecta; Coleoptera.
UACGUGAAACCGUUCAGGAGUAAACCUGAGAAACCCGAAAGGUCGAUGGGUUGAGAUUCAAUACGUUUCGGCUUCGACGUCGGUUAGUUUGUAUGACAAUCUAAUGUUUCGGCAUUUGCUUGCAUCUACUAUAUCGUACGAAUCGUUGUUGAACGUUGUGCAUUUCUCUCCCGGUAGGACGUCGUGAUUCGUUGGGUGUCAGUCUACGGUUAAAUAGUGGAGCUUGUUCGUUUUAUAUCUUACGAUAUGGCGACAAACCUGUUUUAUCCUGGCUGACUACUUGACGAUCUGAUAAGGUGUAAGGCGCUAAUUAUUAGCGUUCAACCCAUAUGCAAGCUACACUUUGAUUUGUUUGUUAUUCGGAACUAUUUGGGCCGUUUGCAACGUCAAGUGUCUGUUGGCUAUGGUGUUCUUGAACUGUCCUUUUAACACUAUUCAGCGACGCUCUAGAUUUGGGUAAUUUCAGGACCCGUCUUGAAACACGGACCAAGGAGUCUAGCAUGUACGCAAGUCAUUGGGAAAUAACUAAACCUAAAGGCGAAAUGAAAGUGAAUUGAGUGGUUCUGGAUUUAUUCAGUUCCAUUUCUUGUAUGGGAAGAUGAGUGAUGUCGGUUCGUCCGUGCACUUCGCAUUCCCGGGGCGUUCCUUAUUCUCAUUGCGAGAUGGGGCGCACCAAGAGCGUACACGCUGGGACCCGAAAGAUGGUGAACUAUGCCUGGUCAGGACGAAGUCAGGGGAAACCCUGAUGGAGGUCCGUAGCGAUUCUGACGUGCAAAUCGAUCGUUAGAACUGGGUAUAGGGGCGAAAGACUAAUCGAACCAUC